GUUUUCCUACGGGGGGCAGCAGUGGGGGAUAUUGGACAAUGGGGGGAACACUGAUCCAGCGACGCCGCGUGAGUGAAGAAGUAUUUCGGUAUGUAAAGCUCUGUCAGCAGGGAAGAAAGAAAUGACGGUACCUGACCAAGAAGCCCCGGCUAACUACGUGCCAGCAGCCGCGGUAAUACGUAGGGGGCAAGCGUUAUCCGGAAUUACUGGGUGUAAAGGGCGCGUAGACGGUUAAGUAAGUCUGGAGCGAAAGGCCGGG
Molecule: ribosomal RNA, 259 nt
Filed under: uncultured bacterium
Lineage: Bacteria
Description: partial 16S ribosomal RNA
Rfam family: Bacterial small subunit ribosomal RNA
Source: RNAcentral